This is a non-coding RNA of Pelobates cultripes (western spadefoot toad), 214 nucleotides long. The record is from the annotation of a GenBank genome assembly. Lineage: Eukaryota; Metazoa; Chordata; Amphibia; Anura; Pelobatidae.
UGACAAUUGACAGACUCGCGGCGAGGCUAUUUGCACACUCCUGCAGGCUGAUCAGCUGUCAAUGUAAAAUGGUGGGUGUUUGCAAAUAUUCGUCCAGGUUUUCAAAUGGUCAGGCUAUAUUGUGAGUUAACCAUUGCUUUUAUUAUAAAAGCCAAACUUAAAAUUAAGAUCAAUGCUAUUUCAUUUAAUUUUUGAAGUAAUCAGUUUAGAUUUA